UAAAUCUAACUGUACGUAAGCAAAGCAGCACGACUAUGAAGUUAUUGGCAUUCCUACUUAUUUUGGUGAUAAUCGUCGCCUUAUUGGCAAUGGUGCAAGCAGGACAUUUACAGGAAAUGGCUGGCCUGAUAGACUGCUGUUGUUGGAACGGUUGGAAAUGCACGUGUGCAUGUGCAAGAUAAUAGAGAUUAACAAUCCAAUUACCAUUUUAACCACAUGCGAGGACUACGAUUUUGAGAAAUGUGUAUGAAAACUUAAUGUGUCUUUCGGAAACGUUUAAUGGUUAUUUCCAAUAUUAACUAACGUAUGCUUCUCCUUUUUUAUGCCACAGCCUUAAACAAAUGUCAGUUCUACAUAAUGUUUCAAAAUAGUUCAUAAAAUGAAAAUUCUUGCUUUGAAUAAAAAAUGUUUUAUUCUUA
Saccostrea echinata is the source of this 419-nucleotide long non-coding RNA. RefSeq lists it as uncharacterized. The transcript has 2 exons. The record is from RefSeq and is a predicted model, not a curated record. Lineage: Eukaryota; Metazoa; Mollusca; Bivalvia; Ostreida; Ostreidae.